Molecule: long non-coding RNA, 276 nt
Filed under: Glycine max (soybean)
Lineage: Eukaryota; Viridiplantae; Streptophyta; Magnoliopsida; Fabales; Fabaceae
Description: long non-coding RNA (GMAX_LNC000393)
Source: RNAcentral
UCUAAUCUCACACAGUUUAGUUUACUCUUACUCUAUCAAGUUCAAAUUUUUUGUAAAGCAAUAAUGGCAUUUAGGGUUUCGUUAUAGACACCGACAAAUUACUCAAGCAAACAACAGUGAAGGGCAUGGCCAAGAAAAAAAUGUGUCCGACGAAGCAGCCACCGUCACUAUUGCCAAAAAAGACGGUGUCAAACAAGGGCAAAGCGAGCAUAUCAACACAGGUUUACAAAGGUUAUAAAGAAGAAAUGUUAAUUAAAAUGCUUUUCUGACACAGUG